CCUUAUUCAAGAUACAUCAUGCAGAAAUCUACCACCACAGAUUGCUCUCGCAUGAUUGUUGUCGGACCUAGGGAUGCCGCUGACACUUACUCAAGCCAUAGACGUUGAUUUCAGGAGUAGAACUUGCCAGGCCAUCAGGUGUCUGUUUCAAGGUGUACGCCUGCAGUGUUGCAUGUGCUCAGUCACUCGAGUUGCAGUUAUGUUCCUCAAACCAAGAAAUUAUCCAAAUUACAAUUAUAAUGCACAAAUCAUCUCUGAAAUCCCAACCCAUAUUGUAAAGCUUGAAGGCUACACCUUUGAGAGCUUCAGCCAAAAAAGAAACAAAUAUCAGUAGUAGGUACAAAUAUUAAGAGACCUGAUGUAUUUGGAUUCUUUUAUUUGCAUGGAAGACAAUAAGCAGACAUCGGUGGCACCCAAGUAGCAAGGCAAGACAUAACCAGACACACAUUAACAUGUUAAUUGUUACAAUAUGUAAUUUAAGUAGAACGGAGCAAAGAGUAAUAGAUUCCUUGAAUUAUGAUCCAAGGUGACUUUUUCAUACUCCUUUUUUUUUAUAGUGUAGGUGUAAGAAGGAACUCUUAUAUAUUGAAGGUGGUUUUUCCCAGUCAACUCGUUGCAGUUUCAGUGGGUGGUGGCUUCCACUGUAACUCUGAACCUCUAUUUCCCUUUGGGGCAACUCCAAAUAUUUGAGUUUCACAACCGUUAAGUCAAUAGUAUGCAUGUCUUUUCAGCUAGCUUGUUAUUUCGGAUGUUACAAUACCUUCCCGCGUGAAUGAAAUGGUGCAUAGUGCAGGCAGGCAUAGAUGUACAACAAUAUGCCCUUCCUAACAAUAUCCACCCCAGUUUCUGAUUUCAUUUUUAUGCUCUAACUUAUCCUUGGGUAUAAAGGAAAAUUUUGUGACUGGGAAAAUGCACUACUAAGAACUAUCUGAGCAAAGAGUAACAGUUUAUACAUGUAGUUGUAACUAAUCUGACCUGAUAGCAGCAGAGAGGGCCAUCAAGAUCAUACCUUCCCAUGCUAUAAUUAGUAUUCCAAAGAAUGUAGAAUAAAAAGAGAAGCACACUAUAUUUAGUUAGCUCAGAAUGUUCUCAUCAAGUUGUGGUUCUGAACUUCUGAUUGUGAGCUCAGCAGUCAAGUACUCCCUCUUUAAAUUAAUAUAAGAGCGUUUAGAUUACUAAAAUAGUGAUCUAAACGCUCUUAUAUUAGUUUACGGAGGGAGUAAUAAGAGUAAGCAAGUAAUUAAGUACCAGAUACCAAGCGAAUGUACGACAAUCUACCCAUCUUGGACUUCGCUUGUCAGGACAAUGAUCAUGAAGAGGUAGAAAAUAUAAUUGCAGAGCAUGAUGAGAAACUCGAGCGACAGCUUGAGAAACACCCAUACCUAGAGAAGGGAAACUGUUUGAAAUGUUAAAAGUAAGGUGACGUCCCAACUCUAAGUAUAAUCCAUUUCAGUAAAUCUUGACCUUGCGGGAUGGUAUAUCUAACUUGGAAGAUACUCCACAGGCUGUAAACGUUGUUCUUCUCACUGU
Molecule: long non-coding RNA, 1530 nt
Filed under: Triticum aestivum (bread wheat)
Lineage: Eukaryota; Viridiplantae; Streptophyta; Magnoliopsida; Poales; Poaceae
Description: long non-coding RNA (TAES_LNC013768)
Rfam family: MIR1120/MIR1122 microRNA precursor family (bases 1137-1223)
Source: RNAcentral